RNAcentral lists this ribosomal RNA (933 nucleotides) under uncultured archaeon. RNAcentral's name for it is "bacterial SSU rRNA". It matches the Rfam family "Archaeal small subunit ribosomal RNA", at positions 1 to 922 of the family's 1478-position model. The record is from RNAcentral.
UUCCGGUUGAUCCUGCCGGACCUGACUGCUAUGGAGUAGGACUAAGUCACGCUAGUCAAAGGUGCGGAAUGGAGCACCUGGCGUACGGCUCAGUAACACGUAGUCAACCUACCCUAAGGACGAGGACAACCCACGGGAAACUGUGGCUAAUACUCGAUAAGAAAUUUGGCCUGGAACGGUAUCUUUCACAAAACCGGCUCGCCGUGAGACACGGGCCUUAGGAUGGGGCUGCGGCUGAUUAUGCUAGAUGGCGGUGUAAAGGACCACCAUGGCUACGAUCAGUAUGGGCGAUGGAAGUCGGAGCCCAGAGUCGGCUACUGAGACAAGGAGCCGAGCUUUACGAAGCUUAGCGGUCGCGAAAACUCGCCAAUGCACGAAAGUGUGAGUGGGCUACUCCAAGUGUCAUUCUUACGGAUGACUGUCGCACAGUCUUACCAGCUGUGAAAGGAAGGAGAGGGCAAGGCUGGUGCCAGCCGCCGCGGUAAAACCAGCUCUUCGAGUGGUCAGGACGAAUAUUGGGUCUAAAGCGCUCGUAGCCGGACAAGUAGGUUCUUGGUUAAAUCCGACAGCAUAACUGUUGGUCUGCUGGGAAUACCGCUAGUCUUGGGAGCGGGAGAGGACAGAGGUAGUCAUAGGGCAGGGGUGAAAUCCAGUGAUCCUAUGGCGACCACCGAUGGCGAAGGCAUCUGUCUGGAACGUAUCCGACGGUGAGGGGCGAAAGCUAGGGGAGCGACCCGGAUUAGAUACCCGGUUAGUCCUAGCCGUAAACGAUGCGGACUAGGUGUUACAGCGGCCAAGAGCCACUGUAGUGCCACAGUGAAGACGUUAAGUCCGCCACCUGGGGAGUACGGAUGCAAGUCUGAAACUUAAAGGAAUUGACGGGUGCGCACCACCAGGAGUGAAGCCUGCGGUUUAAUUGGAUUCAACGCCGGG